GAUGAACGCUGGCGGCAUGCCUAAUACAUGCAAGUCGAACGAAGCGACCCAUUGAAGAUGAAGUGCUUGCACGGAGUCGGAUUUGGAUUUUCGCUUAGUGGCGAACGGGUGAGUAACACGUGGGUAACCUGCCCUUCAAACUGGGAUAACUAUUGGAAACGAUAGCUAAUACCGGAUAGGUAGUAGUGAGGCAUCUCAUUACUAUUAAAGAUGCGUUUGCAUCAUUGAAGGAUGGACCCGCGGUGUAUUAGCUAGUUGGUGAGGUAACGGCCCACCAAGGCGAUGAUACAUAGCCGACCUGAGAGGGUGACCGGCCACAUUGGGACUGAGACACGGCCCAAACUCCUACGGGAGGCAGCAGUAGGGAAUUUUCGUCAAUGGGGGAAACCCUGAACGAGCAAUGCCGCGUGAGCGAAGAAGGAUUUCGGUCUGUAAAGCUCUGUUGUAAAGGAAGAACACUAGAUAGAGGAAAUGCUAUUUAGAUGACGGUACUUUACCAGAAAGCCACGGCUAACUACGUGCCAGCAGCCGCCGUAAAAC
RNAcentral lists this ribosomal RNA (540 nucleotides) under uncultured bacterium. Its description in RNAcentral is "bacterial SSU rRNA". It matches the Rfam family "Bacterial small subunit ribosomal RNA", at positions 28 to 526 of the family's 1533-position model. The record is from RNAcentral.